AUGGAUGGUACAAGAACUUCACUUGACAUUGAAGAGUACUCCAAUACUGAGGUACAGAAAAACCAAGUACUAACUCUGGAAGAAUGGCAAGACAAGUGGGUGAACGGCAACACUGCUUUUCAUCAGGAACAAGGACCUCAGCUAUUAAAGAAACAUUUAGAUACUUUUCUUAAAGGAGAGAGUGGACUGAGGGUAUUUUUUCCUCUUUGCAGAAAAGAGGUUGAGAUGAAAUGGUUUGCAGACCGGGGACACAGCGUAGUUGGUGUGGAAAUCAGUGAACUUGGGAUACGAGAAUUUUUUACAGAGCAGAAUCUAUCUUACUCAGAAGAACCAAUCACCGAAAUUCCUGGAACCAAAGCAUUUAAGAGUUCUUCGGGGAACAUUUCAUCAUACUGUUGCAGUAUUUUUGAUCUUCCCAGGACAAAUAUUGGCACAUUUGACAUGAUUUGGGAUAGAGGAGCAUUAGUUGCCAUUAAUCCAGGUGAUCGCAAAUGCUAUGCGGAUAUAAUGUUAUCCCUCCUGGGAAAGAAGUUUCAAUAUCUCCUGUGUGUCUUUCUUACGAUCCAACUAAACAUCCAGGUCCACCAUUUUAUGUUCCACAUGCUGAAAUUGAAAGGUUGUUUGGUAAAAUAUGCAAUAUACAUUGUCUUGAGAAGGUUGAUGCUUUUGAAGAAUGACAUAAAAAUUGGGGGAUUGACUAUCUUUCUGAAAAGUUAUAUCUACUUACAGAAAAGUAA
RNAcentral lists this long non-coding RNA (737 nucleotides) under Homo sapiens (human). RNAcentral's name for it is "non-protein coding lnc-KATNAL2-11:1". Lineage: Eukaryota; Metazoa; Chordata; Mammalia; Primates; Hominidae. The record is from RNAcentral.